UCGGGCCAAGGCUGACCCUCCUUACCAAAGCCUGAUGUAGGUAAUGUGCAGUGUCCACAACAGAUUGUCUGAUGAAAAUAACGAACAAAAAUACCUUAAUAGGUUUGGAUCUCGUGGGGUUAGAGCGCCCCCCUGAAAAGGGAGAGGUCGGUGGUUCAAGUCCACUCAGGCCUACCAAAUUUUUUCCCGUGCUGCUUUGCGAUCCCACUCAUAUACGAGAAUAUCCUUCCGUUCCCCACCCCUCCCCGGAAAAAAAAUUAUCUUCUCUAUGAGGGGCACAAAGGAUGUGAUUAUGUCUUUUUAAGGGUUAUAUAUCACCUGGAAGAGAGCCCGCUUUGCGCACACAUGAUCUGCGGUGUUAUACCGCAUAUCUCCCCCCUAUAAAGACAUCUCAGAGUAUUGUGAAAACGAUGUUGUGAAAAAUUUUGUUCUUUUUCACUCUGGAACAAGCUGUAAUUUUAAACGAUACGGCUAAAAAUAUAUCUCUCCGUACUACUGAGAUAUGAUUUUGCUGUAUCUCAGACUCUCUAAUAAUCUCAGCGCGAAAGAUACUUGAUGAAUCCAACACACCUUCAGGUUGAGAGAUUAAGCGAAUAAGGGUACUCGGUGGACACCUUGGCACACU
This 625-nucleotide unclassified non-coding RNA is filed under the name Brenneria goodwinii. Its description in RNAcentral is "partial may contain 16S ribosomal RNA, 16S-23S ribosomal RNA intergenic spacer, and 23S ribosomal RNA". The stretch from base 101 to 174 matches the Rfam family "tRNA". The record is from RNAcentral. RNAcentral also lists the same sequence under 1 other name. Lineage: Bacteria; Pseudomonadati; Pseudomonadota; Gammaproteobacteria; Enterobacterales; Pectobacteriaceae.